RNAcentral lists this ribosomal RNA (492 nucleotides) under uncultured bacterium. Its description in RNAcentral is "partial 16S ribosomal RNA". It matches the Rfam family "Bacterial small subunit ribosomal RNA", at positions 29 to 507 of the family's 1533-position model. The record is from RNAcentral.
AGUGAACGCUGGCGGUAGGCCUAACACAUGCAAGUCGAACGGCAGCACAGUAAGAGCUUGCUCUUACGGGUGGCGAGUGGCGGACGGGUGAGGAAUACAUCGGAAUCUACUUUUUCGUGGGGGAUAACGUAGGGAAACUUACGCUAAUACCGCAUACGACCUACGGGUGAAAGCAGGGGAUCUUCGGACCUUGCGCGAUUGAAUGAGCCGAUGUCGGAUUAGAUAGUUGGCGGGGUAAAGGCCCACCAAGGCGACGAUCCGUAGCUGGUCUGAGAGGAUGAUCAGCCACACGGGAACUGAGACACGGUCCAGACUCCUACGGGAGGCAGCAGUGGGGAAUAUUGGACAAUGGGCGCAAGCCUGAUCCAGCCAUACCGCGUGGGUGACGAAGGCCUUCGGGUUGUAAAGCCCUUUUGUUGGGAAAGAAAAGCAGCAGGUUAAUACCCCGCUGUUCUGACGGUACCCAAAGAAUAAGCACCGGCUAACUUCGUG